GUGCUCGCUUCGGCAGCACAUAUACUAAAAUUGGAACAAUACAGAGAUUAGCGUGGCCCUAUGCAAGGAUGACACGCAAAUUCGUGAAGUGUUUCAUAUUUUU
Small nuclear RNA from Ochotona curzoniae (black-lipped pika), 103 nucleotides. Lineage: Eukaryota; Metazoa; Chordata; Mammalia; Lagomorpha; Ochotonidae. The record is from RefSeq and is a predicted model, not a curated record.